UGAUCUUCGAUAUUUUCAUAUUAUUCUUUAUGGGGUAAAGGUGAAGAACAAAGAUCUGAAGAGAAAUAUACUGCGAUUUUCUGGAUUUUUAUGGGGUCCUCAAGAGGAGGAAAGAAAGGAGAAGAAGUUGCAG
This is a long non-coding RNA of Dioscorea cayenensis subsp. rotundata (Guinea yam), 133 nucleotides long. RefSeq lists it as uncharacterized. The transcript is spliced from 3 exons. NCBI's taxonomy places the organism in Eukaryota, Viridiplantae, Streptophyta, Magnoliopsida, Dioscoreales, Dioscoreaceae. The record is from RefSeq and is a predicted model, not a curated record.